UUCUUUUUUCUCCUGAUCUUUGACAUUCUCCAUUUCUUUUUCCUGUUUACUCAGUAACUCACUGAUUUUUUUUAUUUAUCAUGUGAUCAA
Molecule: long non-coding RNA, 90 nt
Organism: Sphaeramia orbicularis (orbiculate cardinalfish)
Lineage: Eukaryota; Metazoa; Chordata; Actinopteri; Kurtiformes; Apogonidae
Exons: 3
Source: RefSeq, a predicted model, not a curated record